GCAACAGCUGCACGUGUGGUGACACGCGUCUGUCCUUUUUAUUAAUUUUCUGUUUAUACCACAUCACACUCACCACAAAUAUUUGCUUUAGUGGAUUUGCUGACCUGCUGCUCAUUUCAAACGAACGAUUUGUACUACAGGCCAUUGCUACAAAUCACUUUAAGGACUUUUGCAGCUGCUUGGUGUUGACAGCCUGCACGUGGAAGGAGAGGGUGGGUGAGGACAAACCUCCAACAAGUAAACGUAGUCAGGACGUUAAAUGCUUUCUUUCUUUUAUGUCGAAAAAACAUGUUGGUAGUAAAAGUAGUAAAAAGGCUCGUGUGUAUUUGAGGAAGGUAUGGUAAUAAAGCAUUACUGAUGAAUGUU
Pomacea canaliculata is the source of this 366-nucleotide long non-coding RNA. RefSeq lists it as uncharacterized. The record is from RefSeq and is a predicted model, not a curated record. The transcript is spliced from 2 exons. NCBI's taxonomy places the organism in Eukaryota, Metazoa, Mollusca, Gastropoda, Architaenioglossa, Ampullariidae.